GACGAACGCUGGCGGCGUGCUUAACACAUGCAAGUCGAACGGAAAGGCCCUGCUUGCAUGGUACUCGAGUGGCGAACGGGUGAGUAACACGUGGGUGAUCUGCCCUGCACUUCGGGAUAAGCCUGGUAAACUGGGUCUAAUACCGGAUAGGAGCCAUUUUUAGGGUGAUGGUUUUAAAGUUUUUUCGUUGUGGGGUGAGCUCGCGGCCUAUCAGCUUGUUUGUGGGGUAAUGGCCUACCAAGGCGGCGACGGGUAGCCGGCCUGAGAGGGUGGACGGCCCAAUUGGGAAUGAGAUAAGGCCCAGACUCCCAAGGGGGGGAGCAGUGGGGAAUAUUGCACAAUGGGCGCAAGCCUGAUGGAGCGACGCCGCGUGGGGGAUGACGGCCUUCGGGUUGUAAACUCCUUUCGCUAGGGACGAAGCUUUUUGUGACGGUACCUAGAGAAGAAGCACCGGCUAACUACGUG
This 465-nucleotide ribosomal RNA is filed under the name uncultured bacterium. RNAcentral's name for it is "partial 16S ribosomal RNA". It matches the Rfam family "Bacterial small subunit ribosomal RNA", at positions 28 to 507 of the family's 1533-position model. The record is from RNAcentral.